CCCUCAGACACUUCAAACGCACAAUAUCUAACACUAAACACCAGCAUCCUUCAACAGUCCACCCUUCCCCGCCCACUACUCACCAUAAUUGGCACCAUCAUCCAACCAGUUCCCAGGAGAAUGUAUCAUAAUUUAGUUAACUAGUACCAUGUAAAUGGACUGUAACAAUUUAUACUUCCACCAGCAGUGUGUGAGAGAAUUCCUGUUUCUCUAGCCAUGCCAAAUAGUUUAUCAUAACACUUUUUGUUCUCUGCCUGUUUGAAUCCGGUUGGGCAAAUUCCUUCACUACUCAUUCAAAAUACUUUCUACUAUUUUUGCUCAUUUAUUUUUCUGUGUAAAUUUCAAAGUCAUUUUUUCAACAUCCAGCUUUCCCCAACCGUGAACUAUGAUUGUGCCACUGCAUUCCAUCCUGGGUGACAGAGCAUAAGACCCUGUCUCUAAAAAACAACAAAACAGUUUUUUGAACCAAACACAUUGUUUGGAGGUAUUGUAUAUGGAAAUAUCCCCAAGUUAGGCAUUGCCUGAGGUUUUUGCCUUGCGGAUUUCUUACGUUCUAUUUGUUUGGAUAGUGUGAGACAAACAAUCCAAAAACUAUAGGUGGCUUUAUAGAACAUUCUUUACUAAACAC
RNAcentral lists this long non-coding RNA (628 nucleotides) under Homo sapiens (human). RNAcentral's name for it is "non-protein coding lnc-TOR1AIP2-7:1". The record is from RNAcentral. Lineage: Eukaryota; Metazoa; Chordata; Mammalia; Primates; Hominidae.